GGGCCUGUAGCUCAAUCGGUUAGAGCAGCGGACUCAUAAUCCGUUGGUUCCUGGUUCGAGUCCAGGCGGGCCCACCA
This 77-nucleotide transfer RNA is filed under the name Omnitrophica bacterium RIFCSPLOWO2_01_FULL_50_24. Its description in RNAcentral is "tRNA-Met". It matches the Rfam family "tRNA". From Rfam's summary of the family: Transfer RNA (tRNA) molecules are approximately 80 nucleotides in length. Their secondary structure includes four short double-helical elements and three loops (D, anti-codon, and T loops). Further hydrogen bonds mediate the characteristic L-shaped molecular structure. tRNAs have two regions of fundamental functional importance: the anti-codon, which is responsible for specific mRNA codon recognition, and the 3' end, to which the tRNAs corresponding amino acid is attached (by aminoacyl-tRNA synthetases). tRNAs cope with the degeneracy of the genetic code in two manners: having more than one tRNA (with a specific anti-codon) for a particular amino acid; and 'wobble' base-pairing, i.e. permitting non-standard base-pairing at the 3rd anti-codon position. Lineage: Bacteria; Pseudomonadati; Candidatus Omnitrophota. The record is from RNAcentral.